RNAcentral lists this ribosomal RNA (978 nucleotides) under Triticum aestivum (bread wheat). RNAcentral describes it as "partial small subunit ribosomal RNA". The record is from RNAcentral. Lineage: Eukaryota; Viridiplantae; Streptophyta; Magnoliopsida; Poales; Poaceae.
AUGAUAAGAUACCGCGGAAUGUCAUGUGGUGGGCCUUGGAGAAACACAAAAGUCCCAGCAAAGUACAUUACCCUCAUCAAGGACAUGUACGAUAAUGUUGUGACAAGUGUUCGAACAAGUGAUGUCGACACUGAUGACUUCCCGUUUAAGAUAGGACUGCAUCAGGGGUCAGCUUUGAGCCCUUAUCUUUUUGCAUUGGUGAUGGAUGAGGUCACAAGGGAUAUACAAGGAGAUAUCCCAUGGUGUAUACUCUUUGCGGAUGAUGUGGUGCUAGUUGACGAUAGUCGGACGGGGGUAAAUAGGAAGUUAGAGUUAUGGAGACAAACCUUGGAAUCGAAAGGGUUUAGGCUUAGUAGAACUGAAAACGAGUACAUGAUGUGCGGUUUCAGUACUAUUAGGUGUGAGGAGGAGGUUAGCCUUGAUGGCCAGGUGGUACCUCAGAAGGACAGCUUUCGGUAUUUGGGGUCAAUGCUGCAGGAGGAUAGGGGUAUUGAUGAAGAUGUGAACCAUCGAAUCAAAGUCGGAUGGAUGAAGUGGCGCCAAGCUUCUGGCAUUCUCUGUGACAAGAGAGUGCCACAAAAGCUAAAAGGCAAGUUCUACAGGACGGCGGUUCGACCCGCAAUGUUGUAUGGCGCUGAGUGUUGGCCGACUAAAAGGCGACAUGUUCAACAGUUAGGUCUGGCGGAGAUGCGUAUGUUGAGAUGGAUGUGUGGCCACACGAGGAAGGAUCGAGUCCGGAAUGAUAAUAUACGAGAUAGAGUUGGGGUAGCACCAAUUGAAGAGAAGCUUGUCCAACAUCGUCUGAGAUGGUUUGGGCAUAUUCAGCGCAGGCCUCCAGAAGCUCCGGUGCAUAGUGGACGGCUAAAGCGUGCGGAGAAUGUCAAGAGAGGGCGGGGUAGACCGAAUUUGACAUGGGAGGAGUCCGUUAAGAGAGACCUGAAGGAUUGGAGUAUCACCAAAGAGCUAGCUAUGGACAGG